UCCCUAUGGGGUGCAGCAGGCGAGAAAACUUUGCAAUGUGCGAAAGCACGACAAGGUUAAUCCGAGUGGUUUCUGCUAAAGGAACCUUUUGUCGGUCCUAGAAACACCGAUGAAUAAGGGGUGGGCAAGUUCUGGUGUCAGCCGCCGCGGUAAAACCAGCACCUCAAGUGGUCAGGAUGAUUAUUGGGCCUAAAGCAUCCGUAGCCGGCUUUGUUAGUUUUCGGUUAAAUCUGUACGCUCAACGUACAGGCUGCCGGGAAUACUGCAGAGCUAGGGAGUGGGAGAGGUAGACGGUGCUCGGUAGGAAGGGGUAAAAUCCUUUGAUCUAUUGAUGACCACCUGUGGCGAAGGCGGUCUACCAGAACACGUCCGACGGUGAGGGAUGAAAGCUGGGGGAGCAAACCGGAUUAGAUACCCGGGUAGUCCCAGCUGUAAACUAUGCAAACUCAGUGAUGCAUUGGCUUGUGGCCAAUGCAGUGCUGCAGGGAAGCCGUUAAGUUUGCCGCCUGGGAAGUACGUACGCAAGUAUGAAACUUAAAGGAAUUGGCGGGGGAGCACCACAAGGGGUGAAGCCUGCGGUUCAAUUGGAUUCAACGCCGGAA
RNAcentral lists this ribosomal RNA (602 nucleotides) under uncultured archaeon. RNAcentral's name for it is "bacterial SSU rRNA". It matches the Rfam family "Archaeal small subunit ribosomal RNA", at positions 319 to 923 of the family's 1478-position model. The record is from RNAcentral.